GCGCUCAUAGCUCAGUGGAUAGAGCAAUGGUCUUCGGAACCAUCGGUCGGGGGUUCGAAUCCCUCUGGGCGCA
This 73-nucleotide transfer RNA is filed under the name Anaerolineae bacterium. RNAcentral describes it as "tRNA-Arg". It matches the Rfam family "tRNA". From Rfam's summary of the family: Transfer RNA (tRNA) molecules are approximately 80 nucleotides in length. Their secondary structure includes four short double-helical elements and three loops (D, anti-codon, and T loops). Further hydrogen bonds mediate the characteristic L-shaped molecular structure. tRNAs have two regions of fundamental functional importance: the anti-codon, which is responsible for specific mRNA codon recognition, and the 3' end, to which the tRNAs corresponding amino acid is attached (by aminoacyl-tRNA synthetases). tRNAs cope with the degeneracy of the genetic code in two manners: having more than one tRNA (with a specific anti-codon) for a particular amino acid; and 'wobble' base-pairing, i.e. permitting non-standard base-pairing at the 3rd anti-codon position. The record is from RNAcentral. Lineage: Bacteria; Bacillati; Chloroflexota; Anaerolineae.